Non-coding RNA from Gossypium arboreum, 141 nucleotides. NCBI's taxonomy places the organism in Eukaryota, Viridiplantae, Streptophyta, Magnoliopsida, Malvales, Malvaceae. The record is from Rfam.
UGUUAAAAUUUUCAUCUAAUUCUACUAUUAAAAACUUAUGUGAUUGACAAAAUAGCUAGGCAAAUAUGGCACAUCACGUGUAUCUCAUUCUAAUGUACAGGGACUAGUAUUUAACAAUAAAAAUAGAUGGAAUUUUUAACA